RNAcentral lists this ribosomal RNA (110 nucleotides) under Eucampia zodiacus. The record is from RNAcentral. Lineage: Eukaryota; Bacillariophyta; Thalassiosirophyceae; Eucampiales; Eucampiaceae.
UGCUUUGGUGUUUUUAGUGUAAUUUGCGGACCCACGCUGAUCCAUCCCGAACUCAGCAGUGAAACGCUAUAAAUCGAUGACAAUACUUGGAGGGGGACCUCCUGGGAAGA